RNAcentral lists this transfer RNA (77 nucleotides) under Woeseiaceae bacterium. RNAcentral describes it as "tRNA-Pro". It matches the Rfam family "tRNA". Rfam says of the family: Transfer RNA (tRNA) molecules are approximately 80 nucleotides in length. Their secondary structure includes four short double-helical elements and three loops (D, anti-codon, and T loops). The record is from RNAcentral. Lineage: Bacteria; Pseudomonadati; Pseudomonadota; Gammaproteobacteria; Woeseiales; Woeseiaceae.
CGGGGCGUAGCGCAGUCUGGUAGCGCACCACAAUGGGGUUGUGGGGGUCGUGAGUUCAAAUCUCGCCGCCCCGACCA